UCAGUUGUGAAAGUUUGCGGCUCAACCGUAAAAUUGCAGUUGAUACUGUCAGUCUUGAGUACAGUAGAGGUGGGCGGAAUUCGUGGUGUAGCGGUGAAAUGCUUAGAUAUCACGAAGAACUCCGAUUGCGAAGGCAGCUCACUGGACUGCAACUGACACUGAUGCUCGAAAGUGUGGGUAUCAAACAGGAUUAGAUACCCUGGUAGUCCACACAGUAAACGAUGAAUACUCGCUGUUUGCGAUAUACAGUAAGCGGCCAAGCGAAAGCAUUAAGUAUUCCACCUGGGGAGUACGCCGGCAACGGUGAAACUCAAAGGAGUUGACGGGGGCCCGCACAAGCGGAGGAACAUGUGGUUUAAUUCGAUGAUACGCGAGGAACCUUACCCGGGCUUAAAUUGCAGUGGAAUGAUGUGGAAACAUGUCAGUGAGCAAUCACCGCUGUGAAGGUGCUGCAUGGUUGUCGUCAGCUCGUGCCGUGAGGUGUCGGCUUAAG
RNAcentral lists this ribosomal RNA (493 nucleotides) under uncultured bacterium. RNAcentral's name for it is "bacterial SSU rRNA". It matches the Rfam family "Bacterial small subunit ribosomal RNA", at positions 588 to 1084 of the family's 1533-position model. The record is from RNAcentral.